CAGGCUUGGUUAUGUGGAGAGGGAUCACUAGAAAGCACAGUACCAGAAGAUGACGUCUGAGAGGUGAAACUGUUCCCUGAAGCACAUAUUUAUAAGAGUUUCUCCUUGGAUGGGCGUAAUAGUUUUGAAGAUCACAGUUGCUGUCAACUGUCAGCAAUCCUGUACCGAGUAUAUCAAUAUUGGGUAUAAAAAAUGAACUUUUUUUUUUAAGUUGAUUAUUUGGACCGAACUUCCAUAUAAUUUGUAAGAAAUGAGUUUAUUGAAGUUUUAAAGUUACUCGUUUUACCAUGGUUUUGAAAAAAAAAAAAAAAAAAAA
This 316-nucleotide unclassified non-coding RNA is filed under the name Hevea brasiliensis (rubber tree). The record is from RNAcentral. Lineage: Eukaryota; Viridiplantae; Streptophyta; Magnoliopsida; Malpighiales; Euphorbiaceae.